GACGAACGCUGGCGGCGUGCUUAACACAUGCAAGUCGAACGGAAAGGCCCUGCUUUUGUGGGGUGCUCGAGUGGCGAACGGGUGAGUAACACGUGAGUAACCUGCCCUUGACUUUGGGAUAACUUCAGGAAACUGGGGCUAAUACCGGAUAGGAGCUCCUGCUGCAUGGUGGGGGUUGGAAAGUUUCGGCGGUUGGGGAUGGACUCGCGGCUUAUCAGCUUGUUGGUGGGGUAGUGGCUUACCAAGGCUUUGACGGGUAGCCGGCCUGAGAGGGUGACCGGCCACAAUGGGACUGAGAUACGGCCCAGACUCCUACGGGAGGCAGCAGUGGGGAAUAUUGCACAAUGGGCGGAAGCCUGAUGCAGCAACGCCGCGUGCGGGAUAACGGCCUUCGGGUUGUAAACCGCUUUCGCCUGUGACGAAGCGUUAGUGACGGUAAUGGGUAAAGAAGCACCGGCUAACUACGUG
Molecule: ribosomal RNA, 468 nt
Filed under: uncultured bacterium
Lineage: Bacteria
Description: partial 16S ribosomal RNA
Rfam family: Bacterial small subunit ribosomal RNA
Source: RNAcentral